Molecule: microRNA, 22 nt
Filed under: Eisenia fetida (common brandling worm)
Lineage: Eukaryota; Metazoa; Annelida; Clitellata; Crassiclitellata; Lumbricidae
Description: Efe-Mir-10-P2j_5p (mature (guide))
Source: RNAcentral
AACCCGUAAUACCAGACUUGUG